RNAcentral lists this ribosomal RNA (301 nucleotides) under uncultured bacterium. RNAcentral describes it as "partial 16S ribosomal RNA". It matches the Rfam family "Bacterial small subunit ribosomal RNA", at positions 509 to 807 of the family's 1533-position model. The record is from RNAcentral.
CAGUAGCCGCGGUAAUACGGAGGGAGCUAGCGUUGUUCGGAAUUACUGGGCGUAAAGCGCACGUAGGCGGCUAUUCAAGUCAGAGGUGAAAGCCCGGGGCUCAACCCCGGAACUGCCUUUGAAACUAGAUAGCUUGAAUCCAGGAGAGGUGAGUGGAAUUCCGAGUGUAGAGGUGAAAUUCGUAGAUAUUCGGAAGAACACCAGUGGCGAAGGCGGCUCACUGGACUGGUAUUGACGCUGAGGUGCGAAAGCGUGGGGAGCAAACAGGAUUAGAUACCCCUGUAGUCCCUGUCUCUUAUAC